This 240-nucleotide unclassified non-coding RNA is filed under the name soil metagenome. RNAcentral describes it as "partial contains 5.8S ribosomal RNA, internal transcribed spacer 2, and large subunit ribosomal RNA". The record is from RNAcentral.
AACGGUCUAUACCUGCGGUACCUGCGGAAGGAUCAUUACAUGGCGGAGAAGGUGGGCAACCUGGCCAACAUCCAGGUUGUGAUGCCUUCACGCUCUUCCACCCUUGUCUAUUUGCACCUUCUGUCGUUCCCUCGGCGGGUUUCGACCCGCCGGCGGCAACAUUGAAAAACCCUUUUUGCAGUUAGCAUUCAAUUCUUCUGAUCAAAUAUUAAAUCAUUACAACUUUCAACAACGGAUCUC